GGGCUCACUUUGGCAGCUCAUAUACUAAAUUUGGAAUGAUACAGAGAAGAUUAGCAAGGAUGACACAAAUUUAUGAAGCGUUCCUUAGUUUC
This 92-nucleotide small nuclear RNA is filed under the name Carlito syrichta (Philippine tarsier). The record is from RNAcentral. Lineage: Eukaryota; Metazoa; Chordata; Mammalia; Primates; Tarsiidae.